UACGAAGGUGGCAAGCGUUACUCGGAAUUACUAGGCGUAAAGGGCAGGUAGGUGGUUUUGUAAGUCUGUUGUGAAAGCUCCCGGCUUAACUGGGAGAGGUCAACGGAUACUGCAGGACUUGAGUAUAGGAGAGGUUACUGGAAUUCCCGGUGUAGCGGUGAAAUGCGCAGAGAUCGGGAGGAAUACCAAUGGCGAAAGCAGGUAACUGGACUAUUACUGACACUCAGCUGCGAAAGCUAGGGGAGCAAACAGGAUUAGAUACCCCUGUAGU
This 271-nucleotide ribosomal RNA is filed under the name uncultured bacterium. RNAcentral describes it as "partial 16S ribosomal RNA". It matches the Rfam family "Bacterial small subunit ribosomal RNA", at positions 524 to 794 of the family's 1533-position model. The record is from RNAcentral.